This 204-nucleotide ribosomal RNA is filed under the name uncultured bacterium. RNAcentral describes it as "partial 16S ribosomal RNA". It matches the Rfam family "Bacterial small subunit ribosomal RNA", at positions 30 to 241 of the family's 1533-position model. The record is from RNAcentral.
CCUGAACGCUGGCGGCGUGGCUAAGACAUGCAAGUCGCACGGUGUAGCAAUACACAGUGGCGAACGGGUGAGUAAUGUAUCGCUAAUGUGCCCCCGGACUCUGAGAUAGCUAACCGAAAGGGUAGGUAAUAUCAGAUGAUAUACCUUUAUUCGCAUGAUAGAGGUCUCAAAGGUCCGCCGGUCUGGGAGCAGGCGAUAUCGUAU